This 1051-nucleotide long non-coding RNA is filed under the name Capsicum annuum. RNAcentral's name for it is "long non-coding RNA (CANN_LNC011303)". The record is from RNAcentral. Lineage: Eukaryota; Viridiplantae; Streptophyta; Magnoliopsida; Solanales; Solanaceae.
GAACCUGCAACAACAUUCAUGGAAGCCCUCCUAUACUUGAAACUGCAAGACUUCAAAUUCUGAUAAAAAUCCGUGUUCUCUGCUGCCAUAAUUCUUUUGUUAAGCGUUGAUUGUAUAGACUCUGCUUCAAUCACAUCAUCACAAAGACGCCUAAGAAUUUCAAUCUUCAAAUAAGCUAGUUGCUUGUAGUAAUCCCUCUCAAAUCAUUUAAAGUGAUAGAGAUCAAAACUUGGCUUCAGUUCAGAUCCUUGCAGUUUUCUUAUCCAUAGUGGUAGUUAAAACCGAGUUAACAACGAUAUAAUUCCAGCAGAUAACGCAUGAACAAAACAGUAAUUUCACCAAAAUGUUCCAAAAUAAACACUUACGAAAUACAAGGAACACAUAUACAACAACAACAACAACAAACCUAGUAUAUUCCCACCUAGUGGGGUCUGGGGAGAGUAAAAUGUACGCAGUCCAUACCACUACCUCCGGGGAAGUAGAGAGGCUAUUUUCGAUAGACCCCCGGCUCAAGACAAAAGGACAAAAACUUCAAAAGUAUGUAACAGGAAUAAAAAUAACACAACAAUAAAUUACAUAAACAAACAAUGGCCCCCCUCCCCCCACCCCUAGACCUACCAACGAAGAUACACUGAACCCUCCUAACUACAGACUAUGAAUCGACCACCCACCAUAGGAAUAUUAGGAUGCUUACUAAGUUAAAACAUCCAACCACAAACACAAGAGCUAUCAAGGUAUGAUUACCAAAAGUUCCAAUAUAAUUUGUGGCUACUGUUGUAUUUGUUAAAGAAAGUUCUUCAUUUAUAAUUAUAUGCAACAUCACUUCCUUUAAGUGAAUAUUUGAAAUAAGAACAAAAUAAGCAAAUGAGAGAAGGCAGAAAAGUAGAGAAGUGGAAAAAAGCCCAGGGCACCCAAAGUACUCUUUACUUGUGUCAUUUGUAUUACAUAUAUCACAUGAGGAAAUUACAUAUAAUUAAAUUUAUCUUAGUACAGAACAGAUGGGAUUCUAUUAAAGUACCUGGAGAUCCUCUGGGAGGUACAGGUGCUUCAU